Molecule: long non-coding RNA, 1171 nt
Organism: Austrofundulus limnaeus
Lineage: Eukaryota; Metazoa; Chordata; Actinopteri; Cyprinodontiformes; Rivulidae
Exons: 2
Source: RefSeq, a predicted model, not a curated record
UGAAAUUCAAACAAAAUACAUUAUUUCUAACCUCCAUAGGCUAAAAAAACAUGAGAAAACUUCAUAUCAAAUAAAAAUCACUCAUUCUGACAAACAGAGCCCUCAAAUUAUAGAAAAACUUCAAACAAACAACUUAAUAAGGUAACACCUCCAAAUUUCCUGACGUACUUCAAACUCCUCAUCUGACACCUCACCACUAAGCAAUAUCAUCUGAACUUGACCUCCUGGCACCUCAACACCAACCCAUCACUAACAGAGCCAACCUCUGUUUCAUGUUCAACUUCCUCAAAAUCCAUUUCACCAUUUUAUCCACAAACACUUUUUAUUAACAUCCACUUUCCAACCAAGUCAUAACAGUAUUUGUUGAUUGACAAAUAACAACACCUGCAAUCCUCCCACAGUAAUUACUAACUCCAAAACUUAGUUUUCACCCAAAAAGUCUUUGGACCAUCAUGAACACCCACAGGAUUGUCUAUUUUGUUGUAUGGAAGGGUCAGAGGCGGUGGUGGAGCUCUGCGACUCUUCGUAGAUCUCGGUUUAGUGCGAGAGACUGGAGAUGGAGGGUUAACUGGAUCUGGACAUGGCAUUUGUUUGAUCUUAAUCUCAUCAGGUUCUUUCCCUGGACAUGGUGUUUGUUUGAUCUUAAUCUCAUCAGGUUCUUUCAUGUUGUUAGCAGAAUCCAGGAGAGGACAUUCCACUUGCUGUCCUGUUGGGGUCUCAGAGUACAAGAGAUCCUCUGUUUCUGAUGCUGAUGAAUCCAAUUGUUCUUCAGGUUCUUCAGCUUGAAGUAGCUCCUCUCUCUCUGGUUCUCUCUCUUGYUCUGGUUCUGAUUCUGAAGCAGUCUCCUUAUCAGUAACUGUCACUCUGUGUUCCACUGAUGUCUCAGUUUUCUCCAGCUGUCCUUCAGACGUCAGUUGUUGUGGUUUAUCUGUAGCCAGAACUCUGUUCAGGAAAUACUUCAUGUUUGAAACUAGUAGCUGUGCUCCAGCUUGAUUCAGAGUCAUUCCAUCAGACUUGAAUAGAUGUUUUCUUUCCCAGAAGAGAUCAAAGUUGUCCACAUAUCUCACAGAGUGGUCAGCACAGGAUUUUUCCAAAAACCCAUUAAGAGCCAAAAGUCUACUGAACCUCUCAGCUCCUCCUCUGACUGUUGGAACCGGUCCACUGAUGAAAA